Molecule: ribosomal RNA, 406 nt
Filed under: uncultured bacterium
Lineage: Bacteria
Description: partial 16S ribosomal RNA
Rfam family: Bacterial small subunit ribosomal RNA
Source: RNAcentral
AUUGAACGCUGGCGGCAGGCCUAACACAUGAAAGUCGAACGAGUGGCGGACGGGUGAGUAAUGUCUGGGAAACUGCCUGAUGGAGGGGGAUAACUACUGGAAAAGGUAGCUAAUACCGCAUACCAUCGGAUGUGCCCAGAUGGGCUUAGCUAGUAGGUUGGGGAAAGGCUCAACUAGGCGACGAUCCCUAGCUGGUCUGAGAGGAUGACCAGCCACACUGGAACUGAGACACGGUCCAUACUCCGACGGGCGGCAGCAGUGGGGAAUAUUGCACAAUGUGCGCAAGCCUGAUGCAGCCAUGCCGCGUGUAUGAAGAAGGCCUUCGGGUUGUAAAGUACUUUCAGCGGGGAGGCGUUACCCGCAGAAUAAGCACCGGCUAACUCCGUGCCAGCAGCCGCGGUAAUAC